AUAAAGUAGGGUCUUCCCACAUUUGAUUUGAAAUCUUAUGGAUUGUUUAAAUAACAAGCUUUAUU
This 65-nucleotide transfer RNA is filed under the name Capsala katsuwoni. Its description in RNAcentral is "tRNA-Ser". Lineage: Eukaryota; Metazoa; Platyhelminthes; Monogenea; Capsalidea; Capsalidae. The record is from RNAcentral.